GACGAACGCUGGCGGCGUGCUUAACACAUGCAAGUCGAACGGAAAGGCCCUGCUUUUGUGGGGUGCUCGAGUGGCGAACGGGUGAGUAACACGUGAGUAACCUGCCCUUGACUUUGGGAUAACUUCAGGAAACUGGGGCUAAUACCGGAUAGGAGCUCCUGCUGCAUGGUGGGGGUUGGAAAGUUUCGGCGGUUGGGGAUGGACUCGCGGCUUAUCAGCUUGUUGGUGGGGUAGUGGCUUACCAAGGCUUUGACGGGUAGCCGGCCUGAGAGGGUGACCGGCCACAUUGGGACUGCGAUACGGCCCAGACUCCUACGGGAGGCAGCAGUGGGGAAUAUUGCACAAUGGGCGGAAGCCUGAUGCAGCAUCGCCGCGUGCGGGAUGACGGCCUUCGGGUUGUAAACCGCUUUCGCCUGUGACGAAGCGUGAGUGACGGUAAUGGGUAAAGAAGCACCGGCUAACUACGUG
This 468-nucleotide ribosomal RNA is filed under the name uncultured bacterium. RNAcentral describes it as "partial 16S ribosomal RNA". It matches the Rfam family "Bacterial small subunit ribosomal RNA", at positions 28 to 507 of the family's 1533-position model. The record is from RNAcentral.